This 433-nucleotide ribosomal RNA is filed under the name uncultured bacterium. RNAcentral describes it as "partial 16S ribosomal RNA". It matches the Rfam family "Bacterial small subunit ribosomal RNA", at positions 29 to 507 of the family's 1533-position model. The record is from RNAcentral.
AGCGAACGCUGGCGGCAGGCCUAACACAUGCAAGUCGAACGAACUCUUCGGAGUUAGUGGCGGACGGGUGAGUAACACGUGGGAACGUGCCUUUAGGUUCGGAAUAACUCGGGGAAACUUGUGCUAAUACCGAAUGUGCCCUUCGGGGGAAAGAUUUAUCGCCUUUCGAGCGGCCCGCGUCUGAUUAGCUAGUUGGUGAGGUAAAGGCUCACCAAGGCGACGAUCAGUAGCUGGUCUGAGAGGAUGAUCAGCCACAUUGGGACUGAGACACGGCCCAAACUCCUACGGGAGGCAGCAGUGGGGAAUCUUGCGCAAUGGGCGAAAGCCUGACGCAGCCAUGCCGCGUGAAUGAUGAAGGUCGUAGGAUUGUAAAAUUCUUUCACCGGGGACGAUAAUGACGGUACCCGGAGAAGAAGCCCCGGCUAACUUCGUG